This 253-nucleotide ribosomal RNA is filed under the name uncultured bacterium. RNAcentral's name for it is "partial 16S ribosomal RNA". It matches the Rfam family "Bacterial small subunit ribosomal RNA", at positions 524 to 776 of the family's 1533-position model. The record is from RNAcentral.
UACGGAGGAUCCGAGCGUUAUCCGGAUUUAUUGGGUUUAAAGGGUGCGCAGGCGGGUAUAUAAGUCAGAGGUGAAAUUCCAGGGCUCAACCCUGGGACUGCCUUUGAUACUGUAUGUCUAGAGUAUAUUUGGAGUGGGCGGAAUGUAGCAUGUAGCGGUGAAAUGCUUAGAUAUGCUACAGAACACCGAUCGUGAAGACAGCUCACUAAACUAUAACUGACGCUCAGGCACGAAAGCGUGGGGAGCAAACAGG